UACGUAGGGGGCGAGCGUUGUCCGGAAUUACUGGGCGUAAAGCGCAUGUAGGCGGGCGACUAAGUCAGGGGUGAAAACCGUGGGCUCAACCUAGGAAUUGCGCUUGUGACUGGCGGGCUCGAGUACGGUAGAGGGGGGUGGAAUUCCUGGUGUAGCAGUGAAAUGCGUAGAGAUCAGGAGGAACACCGAUGGCGAAGGCAGCCCCCUGGGCCUGUACUGACGCUCAUGCACGAAAGCGUGGGGAGCAAACAGG
Molecule: ribosomal RNA, 253 nt
Filed under: uncultured microorganism
Description: partial 16S ribosomal RNA
Rfam family: Bacterial small subunit ribosomal RNA
Source: RNAcentral